UCCCAUUCCCUCUAUAAAUAGGAGAUGUCACGCCCCGAUCCUCCGAGCGCGCGAACAUCCCACUCUGGUCGAUACAAAUGCGACUUCCCAGGACACGUCGCCGACCCAUUCAUUUUUAUAUUACACAUGCGGAAGCGAAACAAAUCUCCUAACAACAUUUAACUUGGGAUAGAAAAGCAUGCAAUCAAUCACAACCAAACAAGCUUUCUAUAAACACAUAGGUUUAUAUACAACACAGGAUUGUCUACAAAAUAGACAGGCUCAACAACUAGGGAAUUGUCCUAUGACCAACUUGUCAGACACGUUCGCCGAUUCUUCAGCCUUCACCUUCUGAACUCCAGGACUUCCGGUCCUCCACGACCGUCAUAUAGAGACCUGAAAUAUUAUCCCACAACCGGGAUGAGACUACGUCUCAGUGAGUCCUACCCUCUAAAACUCAAUUAGGAAGAAAAUACGCCUCAGGGCGCUCUAGCCACACAAAUAGGAUAGAAGGCUUACCUCGCCUAAGUCCAUUUCCUGCACGUCAGUACAAUUCAUAUUCAAACAAUGCUCGCACAAGCUGAAACUACCGACACACCCAUCGGUCUAUCAAUUCAAUCAAUCCAAUUGAUAUCAUACGAUCCACAUAUCUAUCAAUUCAUACCAUCUAUUAAACCAUACCAUCUAUUCAUCCAUCAAUACAUUCACGGCUCACACAAGCUGAAAUGGAUGCAAUGCUGUCACAAGCUGAUAUAGAUGGUAACUCGCACAAGCUGAUAUAUACAUAGAUGGUAGCUCACACAAGCUGAUAGAUAGAUCGUGUUCGCACAAGCUGAUAAAACGAUCUUAGCUCACCAGAAGCUGCCGCAAUAUUCAAUAUAGUAUAUUAUAGCUCACCAGAAGCUGCCGCAAUAUUCAAUAUAGUAUACUAUAGCUCACCAGAAGCUGUCGCAAUAUAUAUAUAUAUAUAUAUCAUAAUUGCUCGCCUAAGCGGAUACAUAUAUAUAUAAACCAAUGCUCGCCAAGGCUGAUCAUUCAAUAAUAAACUAUAGAACUGGAUAUUCAAUCCAAUAACAACCAACGAUUCAAACUAGUCAUACAAAGCAAUUACGGUGCUAAAAGCCAACACCGGGUAUUUUCAAGUUAAAUACCACAACUUCAUCAAUAUCACUCAAUUCCACACUUUUGGAAUAAUUAACCAUAAUCAUCAAUAACUCAAUUUCUCAAUUUAAACAUACAAUUAACACAAACCGACCGCACUGCUGCGAUCAGCGCGAAAUUCUAACGACCGGCCAUCCCGGCAUAAUUUUCAAAAUUAUUAAAUAAUUAAAUUUAAUUCCGAAAAUUAAAUAAUUAAAUAUUAUAUUAUAAUAAUAUAAUUUAAUAAAAUAAUAUUUAUAAAUUCGAAAUAAUUAAUUAAUUGAAAAUAAUUAAUUAGGGCUUAAACAAGAUUACACUAAUUUAAUCAUACAAUUAGCCCUAAUUAAACAUCCAUUAAACUAAUCAUACAACUAAUCUAAUUUACAUUAAAAUAAUCUAAUUUAAUCACAUAAACCUAAUUAGACUAAUCUAAACACCCCUUAAGCGUCAUUAACUCACUAAGCAAGAAUUAGAGGAUAAACUCACCGGUUUUGCGCGCCGGUGAGUUCACGGCGACCACGACGCCAAGGCGGUCGAUAAACCCCAAAGAGGCGACACCAACGGAGGCCGGGAAGACACUGAAAACGGGCCUCGAAAUCUCCAAAACCUUGCUGUCUUCUGCUUCUGCUCUUGGCUGAACUGCAGAGAAGAAACCAGCAGCUUCAAUGGCGAAAACGGGCCGAUCGGAGCUCCGGCAAGCGGGUGGUUGGCAACCGGUGGCUCCCGGAGGUCUUGGGGGUCUUGCUGGAGGUUGGGAUGGGCGGAGGAAGGACCGGAAUGGGAGAAAAAUGGCCGAAAACGCGAAACAGUGCAGGCUGCAGGCGGACCGACGGACCGGCGACCGGUUCCUUCCCGACGGCGCCCAGGCAGGCCGGCGGCUCCGUUCGGGACGAAAUUGGACUCGUUGGAACGGUCUGUCUCUCCCGGUCACGGUGAUAGGUGGAUCAUUGUCUGAUUCAUCCGGGAAGACCACUUUUGACUCGAUUUUUCACUGAAGGGUCAGCUGGAGCAGAACUGGAGAAGAAGAACAUGGAGGAGAGAGAAGCUCCGUCGAGAUGGGGACCGAAUGGGGGAAAGAGAGAGUGAUGGGAGGGCUGUCAAAGCCUCCAUAAAACCUGCCCCAAGUCCCCAUGCCCAU
This 2257-nucleotide long non-coding RNA is filed under the name Eucalyptus grandis. RNAcentral describes it as "long non-coding RNA (EGRA_LNC007468)". Lineage: Eukaryota; Viridiplantae; Streptophyta; Magnoliopsida; Myrtales; Myrtaceae. The record is from RNAcentral.